This 153-nucleotide unclassified non-coding RNA is filed under the name soil metagenome. RNAcentral's name for it is "partial internal transcribed spacer 1". The record is from RNAcentral.
GUGAUUAAAUCGAACGUGUCUUCAUUGACCGCUCACCCUUCUCACCAUCCACAUACACCUGUGCACUGUUUAGCCUGAGCCGGUUUUCCGGUCCAGGUUAUCAUUUCAUACAAACUCUAGUCUUAUGAAUGUAAACGUUUUAAUAACAUAAUA